UACGUAGGGGGCUAGCGUUGUCCGGAAUCAUUGGGCGUAAAGAGCGUGUAGGCGGUCCGGUAAGUCCGCUGUGAAAGUCGGGGGCUCAACCCUCGAAUGCCGGUGGAUACUGUCGGGCUAGAGUGCGGAAGAGGCGAGCGGAAUUCCUGGUGUAGCGGUGAAAUGCGCAGAUAUCAGGAGGAACACCUAUUGCGAAGGCAGCUCGCUGGGACGUUACUGACGCUGAGACGCGAAAGCGUGGGGAGCAAACAGG
This 253-nucleotide ribosomal RNA is filed under the name uncultured bacterium. RNAcentral's name for it is "partial 16S ribosomal RNA". It matches the Rfam family "Bacterial small subunit ribosomal RNA", at positions 524 to 776 of the family's 1533-position model. The record is from RNAcentral.